UACAGAGGGUGCGAGCGUUGUCCGGAAUCACUGGGCGUAAAGGGCGCGUAGGUGGCGCUGCAAGUCGGUGGUGAAAGCUCGUCGCUUAACGACGAGUCGGCCAUCGAAACUGCAGGGCUCGAGCACUGUAGGGGCUAAUGGAAUUCCGGGUGUAGCGGUGAAAUGCGUAGAUAUCAGGAGGAACACCGGUGGCGAAGGCGGCUCUCUGGGACGGUACUGACGCUGAGACGCGAAAGCGUGGGGAGCGAACAGG
This 253-nucleotide ribosomal RNA is filed under the name uncultured bacterium. RNAcentral's name for it is "partial 16S ribosomal RNA". It matches the Rfam family "Bacterial small subunit ribosomal RNA", at positions 524 to 776 of the family's 1533-position model. The record is from RNAcentral.